RNAcentral lists this ribosomal RNA (252 nucleotides) under uncultured bacterium. RNAcentral's name for it is "partial 16S ribosomal RNA". It matches the Rfam family "Bacterial small subunit ribosomal RNA", at positions 524 to 776 of the family's 1533-position model. The record is from RNAcentral.
UACGUAGGUCCCGAGCGUUAUCCGGAUUUAUUGGGCGUAAAGCGAGCGCAGGCGGUUAGAUAAGUCUGAAGUGAAAGGUUGUGGCUUAACCAUAGUAUGCUUUGGAAACUGUUUAACUUGAGUGCCGAAGGGGAGAGUGGAAUUCCAUGUGUAGCGGUGAAAUGCGUAGAUAUAUGGAGGAACACCGGUGGCGAAAGCGGCUCUCUGGUCUGUAACUGACGCUGAGGCUAGAAAGUGUGGGGAGAAAACAGG